This 460-nucleotide ribosomal RNA is filed under the name uncultured bacterium. RNAcentral describes it as "partial 16S ribosomal RNA". It matches the Rfam family "Bacterial small subunit ribosomal RNA", at positions 338 to 795 of the family's 1533-position model. The record is from RNAcentral.
CCUACGGGUGGCAGCAGUGAGGAAUAUUGGUCAAUGGGCGGAAGCCUGAACCAGCCAAGUCGCGUGAGGGAUUAAGGCCCUGCGGGUCGUAAACCUCUUUUGCCGGGGAGCAGAGGUCCGGACGUGUCCGGGCCGGGAGAGUACCCGGAGAAAAAGCAUCGGCUAACUCCGUACCAGCAGCCGCGGUAAUACGGAGGAUGCGAGCGUUAUCCGGUUUUAUUGGGUUUAAGGGGUGCGUAGGCGGGCAUUUAAGCCGGCGGUCAAAUGUCGGGGCUCAACCCCGGCCUGCCGCUGGAACUGGGUGCCUAGAGUGGACGUGAAGUAUGCGGAAUGCGUGGUGUAGCGGUGAAAUGCAUAGAGAUCACACAGAACCCCGAUUGCGAAGGCAGCAUACCGGCGCCCUACUGACGCUGAGGCACGAAAGUGCGGGUAUCGAACAGGAUUAGAUACCCCUGUAGUC